UACGUAGGGUGCUAACGUUGUUCGGAAUCACUGGGCAUAAAGAGCGCGUAGGCGGUCUGAUAAGUCAGAUGUGAAAGCCCUGGGCUUAACCCAGGAAGUGCAUUUGAUACUGUAAAGCUUGAGUGUUGGAGAGGUUACCGGAAUACCUGGUGUAGUGGUGAAAUACGUAGAUAUCAGGUGGAACACCGGUGGCGAAGGCGGGUAACUGGCCAAACACUGACUCUCAAACCCGAAAGCGUGGGGAUCAAACAGG
RNAcentral lists this ribosomal RNA (253 nucleotides) under uncultured bacterium. Its description in RNAcentral is "partial 16S ribosomal RNA". It matches the Rfam family "Bacterial small subunit ribosomal RNA", at positions 524 to 776 of the family's 1533-position model. The record is from RNAcentral.